UUUUAUUUAAUUUACUUAAAAAUAUUUACUUGUCAAGUAAAAAAUCAAUAGGAU
RNAcentral lists this transfer RNA (54 nucleotides) under Oxyloma wujiaquensis. RNAcentral's name for it is "tRNA-Asp". Lineage: Eukaryota; Metazoa; Mollusca; Gastropoda; Stylommatophora; Succineidae. The record is from RNAcentral.